GGAGUCGGACAGGCUGUCGCCGCGGCGCGUGCGCCGGGGAGGAAAGUCCGGGCUCCGCAGGGCAGGACGCUGGGUAACUCCCAGCGGGAGUGAUCCCGGGAAAGUGCAACAGAGAGCAGACCGCCUGCCUUCGGGCAGGUAAGGGUGAAAGGGUGGUGUAAGAGACCACCGGCGGG
This 176-nucleotide RNase P RNA is filed under the name Pseudomonadota bacterium. RNAcentral's name for it is "Proteobacteria bacterium (groundwater metagenome) partial RNase P RNA component class A". It matches the Rfam family "Bacterial RNase P class A", at positions 1 to 184 of the family's 367-position model. From Rfam's summary of the family: Ribonuclease P (RNase P) is a ubiquitous endoribonuclease, found in archaea, bacteria and eukarya as well as chloroplasts and mitochondria. Its best characterised activity is the generation of mature 5'-ends of tRNAs by cleaving the 5'-leader elements of precursor-tRNAs. Cellular RNase Ps are ribonucleoproteins. The record is from RNAcentral. Lineage: Bacteria; Pseudomonadati; Pseudomonadota.